RNAcentral lists this transfer RNA (69 nucleotides) under Rana wuyiensis. RNAcentral describes it as "tRNA-Pro". It matches the Rfam family "tRNA". Rfam says of the family: Transfer RNA (tRNA) molecules are approximately 80 nucleotides in length. Their secondary structure includes four short double-helical elements and three loops (D, anti-codon, and T loops). Further hydrogen bonds mediate the characteristic L-shaped molecular structure. tRNAs have two regions of fundamental functional importance: the anti-codon, which is responsible for specific mRNA codon recognition, and the 3' end, to which the tRNAs corresponding amino acid is attached (by aminoacyl-tRNA synthetases). tRNAs cope with the degeneracy of the genetic code in two manners: having more than one tRNA (with a specific anti-codon) for a particular amino acid; and 'wobble' base-pairing, i.e. permitting non-standard base-pairing at the 3rd anti-codon position. Lineage: Eukaryota; Metazoa; Chordata; Amphibia; Anura; Ranidae. The record is from RNAcentral.
CAGGACAUAGUUUAAGUAGAAUGCCGGCUUUGGGGGUCGGAGGUAGAGGUUAGAGUCUUUUUGUUCUGA